RNAcentral lists this long non-coding RNA (715 nucleotides) under Salmo trutta (river trout). Its description in RNAcentral is "lncRNA (ENSSTUG00000020914.1)". Lineage: Eukaryota; Metazoa; Chordata; Actinopteri; Salmoniformes; Salmonidae. The record is from RNAcentral.
CUCCUGUUGAAUGUAGGAUUCACUCAUUUUGAGCUUAAUAGUUUUAUUGCAAUUGUGUUCAUUGGAUUUUCAAGAUUGUGUAUUAUUGUAAAAUAUGCACAACAUAAUCCUGAGCUUAAUUAUUUUAUCUCUUCUACCCCCAGAUAUUGUGCACAGGUCAGAGAGUUGUCUCUCUCAGGCCACAAGUACCCACAGGUCAGGCACUAGCCAGGCCUCCAGUGACCUUGUUGUUGAAUACAUGUCUGAGCUCCAUACCAACUGCCUUGACACCGCAUUGCCUGUGAGGUGCACUUCUACAGCUGUUGGCGAUACAGAGACUUGUCACGUCCCCUCUGCCAGAGUGAAGAAGAAGAGUCAGGGCCGGAGGUUCAGUUGCUGCCCAAAGUUGCCAACGGUCAGCAUCAAGGUGUUCAAGAGCAGAGUGGAACCAGAGAGCCACCCUGUUCAAAAGGAGCUGCCUUCGCAGCGUUUCAGCACCUCUCGAGUUGCGCUGUAUGAUGAUCAUGCUGUCCCAUUCAUUCCCCAACUUGAGGACGACCUGCCACCAGCACCUGCACAGGAGUCCCGUAAACGUCCCCUGUUGGUGAGAAUGUUCCGGGCCAUUUCCAGGGCCAUCUCGAAGCCAUUCAAGGGCUGUGCUUUUUGCAAGAAGAAUUAGGAAAGGGUUAGCCAUCAACAUCUAAUAAACAUGUUAGCAGCAUUGAUUUGUGUGUCU